CCCUUUCUCAUUUUAAUUUGUUACAAUGCUCUCUGCAACCUUUCAAAAACUGUCUGCAUAUUCUGAUUGAUUAUCUUUCCCCGUAUUGAAUCCAGGGUAAAAAGACCAGACAGUCUGAACUCGGAUCCUCCCAGCCCACCUCAGAAUCAGUUAGGGCAACCUAUGGCUCCCCCAACUCAAAAUCAGUAUGGUCAACCUAUGGCUCCUGCACCUCAGUAUCAGUACGGUCAACCUAUGGCUCCACCGACUCAAAAUCAGUAUGGUCAACCUCUGGCUCCUCCGACUCAAAAUCAAUACGAUCAACCUCUGGCUCCUCCGACUCAAAAUCAAUAUGGUCAACCUAUGGCUCCACCAACUCCGCCCCCACCCGGACCAAACGAGGAUUCAAUGACUCCCCCACCUCAGAAUCAGAAUGGGGAUGGGCAGUUCAUGCCUCCUCCCACUUUGGACCAAGAUCCAAACGACCAG
Molecule: long non-coding RNA, 468 nt
Filed under: Arabidopsis thaliana (thale cress)
Lineage: Eukaryota; Viridiplantae; Streptophyta; Magnoliopsida; Brassicales; Brassicaceae
Description: long non-coding RNA (ATHA_LNC000405)
Source: RNAcentral